CUUUUUCUGAGGAGUCCCAAACUAGGACGAAACGGCUGUCCAGUAC
RNAcentral lists this non-coding RNA (46 nucleotides) under Trichobilharzia regenti. Lineage: Eukaryota; Metazoa; Platyhelminthes; Trematoda; Strigeidida; Schistosomatidae. The record is from RNAcentral.